This 468-nucleotide ribosomal RNA is filed under the name uncultured bacterium. Its description in RNAcentral is "partial 16S ribosomal RNA". It matches the Rfam family "Bacterial small subunit ribosomal RNA", at positions 28 to 507 of the family's 1533-position model. The record is from RNAcentral.
GACGAACGCUGGCGGCGUGCUUAACACAUGCAAGUCGAACGGAAAGGCCCUGCUUUUGUGGGGUGCUCGAGUGGCGAACGGGUGAGUAACACGUGAGUAACCUGCCCUUUACUUUGGGAUAACUUCAGGAAACUGGGGCUAAUACCGGAUAGGAGCUCCUGCUGCAUGGUGGGGGUUGGAAAGUUUCGGCGGUUGGGGAUGGACUCGCGGCUUAUCAGCUUGUUGGUGGGGUAGUGGCUUACCAAGGCUUUGACGGGUAGCCGGCCUGAGAGGGUGACCGGCCACAUUGGGACUGAGAUACGGCCCAGACUCCUACGGGAGGUAGCAGUGGGGAAUAUUGCACAAUGGGCGGAAGCCUGAUGCAGCAACGCCGCGUGCGGAAUGACGGCCUUCGGGUUGUAAACCGCUUUCGCCUGUGACGAAGCGUGAGUGACGGUAAUGGGUAAAGAAGCACCGGCUAACUACGUG